Long non-coding RNA from Zingiber officinale, 226 nucleotides. RefSeq lists it as uncharacterized. NCBI's taxonomy places the organism in Eukaryota, Viridiplantae, Streptophyta, Magnoliopsida, Zingiberales, Zingiberaceae. The transcript has 3 exons. The record is from RefSeq and is a predicted model, not a curated record.
UAAAGAUAUUAUUGAGACAGCAGGAGAUCGAUUUUACGACAAUGUUGUGGAGGAAUUUCUCGACGCACUCAAACAAAACAUCACUGGAGAGUGGUCUGAUCAAGUUGUGAAAUGGGAGAAAUGCAGCAAUAACAAGGUCGCUUGUCCUGAUGUCUACGCACUCUUUGAUGGUGAUGGACAUCAAGUGCCUCAAGAUCUAGUGGAAAAAGUUGGUAAGGUGUUUGAA